Long non-coding RNA from Oncorhynchus tshawytscha (Chinook salmon), 400 nucleotides. The record is from Ensembl. NCBI's taxonomy places the organism in Eukaryota, Metazoa, Chordata, Actinopteri, Salmoniformes, Salmonidae.
GCAGUUUAAAAAAUAUGAAUACGAAUAAGAAAUAAAAGUAACAAGUAGUUAAAGAGAAGCAGUAAAAUAACAAUAGCGAGGCUAUAUGCAGGGAGGUACUGGUACAGAGUCAAUGUGGAGGCUAUAUGCAGGGAGGUACUGGUACAGAGUCAAUGUGGAGGCUAUAUGCAGGGAGGUACUGGUACAGAGUCAAUGUGGAGGCUAUAUGCAGGGAGGUACCGGUACAGAUCAAUGUGGAGGCUAUAUGCAGGGAGGUACUGGUACAGAGUCAAUGUGGAGGCUAUAUACAGGGAGGUACUGGUACAGAGUCAAUGUGGAGGCUAUAUACAGGGAGGUACUGGUACAGAGUCAAUGUGGAGGCUAUAUACAGGGGUACUGGUACAGAGUCAAUGUGGAGGCU